GUCAGUCGCGAAGCGCGCUAUCAGCGUACAGCUUUGGAGUUUCUUUUUAUUUAAAUGUCUUUUUAUUUCUGUUUACUUCUGUCAACUUCUUUUCGCUGUGUCGUCUGGUCUGGCCUGGUCGCCUGAAAGUCGUGAAACCGGCAAUUGAUGCCUUGUGAUCUCGUACGUGCUCUACUUUUAUUUCGUGUUUUUUGAAAACGUUUUCCAUACGUAUUUAUCGCAAUAAAACGGUUAUAUCUUUAUUUUAUGGAUAUUAUUUUAAUUACAACGCAGAUUGUACAAUUCACUUUCUAUAUUAUCUGCGACAUUGUUUGCCGAUAAUAUUUUCCAAAGUAAACACUCAGGAUUUUACGAUCAAUCAAUUAAUUCUGGAUCUUUUGAAACAUUGGAAAUUCUUAAAGUAAGCAAUGCCUAAAUCAGAAAUGGAGAAACUAAAACCGUCAUGGACAAUAGUUCAGUUUGCGGCAGAUAAUACUGUUGAAACAGUACCAUCAAGCUGGAUAGAACGCGACAAAUGCUACUGGCCUCCAUUUAAGUAUGAACAGAUUAUUGCCGCAAUUCGAAAAAACACAGAACAAAAUACAUGUUGGCCAUCUUACGACAUUAUUACGUUCCGGAACAGCACGUAUUAGCAGGUUAGUAGCAUUUCACUAAAAAAAAUAUUUAUAUUAUUAUUUAAUGUCAUUUUUCUAGGACUGAAAAGUAAUAUAUAUUGCUAUUGUUCAUUGUAAUGUAAGCAUUUAUUUGUAUAAUUUUAGAUGAUUACAAUACGGCAAGAUUGAAAACAAAAAAAGCUGAAUGUACAUUCGAUUUAAAUUCAGAGAUUGAGGCAGGUACAAAAAGAAAAAGGAUUAAAAAUCGAUUGUUUCCAAGUGAUACGAAUGAUAGCGAUUAGGAAAAUAGCGCCCCUACAAAACGAAAACAAACGAAAGAGGACGAAAUUCUGAAAAAGAAGGUUAAGGCUAAAGAUAUUUAUACUAGUGAAGAAUCUGAGGAGUCUGACAGCAUUCUUCCAAUUCCUCCAAAAAUAACAGAUACUGAUUAUUAUUUUGGUCUAAAAAAAUGUUUAAUUUAAAUUCCUGUGAAAUGAGUAUACUAAAAAAUAAAGAAUUUGAAAAAUUAUUAGAUAAGUUUAAUAUAAAAGAAAUGCUUGCUCUAUAUACAGAAUAGCUUAAAGAGUUCAUCAUGUUUACUUAAUGAGAUAAUCAUGUUUACUUAAUGUUUUAUUUAAAUAUUAACAUUUUUCAUAUAAUUUUCAAUUUUUUUUCUUUCUUUGACCUGACAUUAAGUUCAUAAAUUUAUUCUGUUGAAAAUGUAUAAUAAUAAAAAUUCUUUGCUUUUUUAUCUGUCAUGAUAUUAAACUUACACAUUAGGCCUUAGGGGAUGCCGAGUCGUAAAAGAAAAUAAAAUUUUAUUGAUUAAAUCUUCCACGCUAAAAA
Molecule: long non-coding RNA, 1439 nt
Filed under: Monomorium pharaonis (pharaoh ant)
Lineage: Eukaryota; Metazoa; Arthropoda; Insecta; Hymenoptera; Formicidae
Description: uncharacterized LOC118646657, transcript variant X2
Source: RNAcentral